This 777-nucleotide unclassified non-coding RNA is filed under the name Hevea brasiliensis (rubber tree). Lineage: Eukaryota; Viridiplantae; Streptophyta; Magnoliopsida; Malpighiales; Euphorbiaceae. The record is from RNAcentral.
GUGCAAUGUUCUUUGUAUCAGUAUUGGUCUUCACAGUAGCAUAUGGUGAUGGGCAAUGCUCGUCUAGGAAACCAUAAUUAGUUGGACAAAAACCUUCAUUAUAGUCACGGUCCACAUUCGGAAGUCUGUCACAAUUGGUAGGAACCCAGCCGAUCCGAUGCUUAUCAUUGUCAUAUAUCACCAGUUUAUCUUGUAAAAAAAUGUCUCCAAUUAUGUUGAUGUUUCCCAAUCCUACUUCACUACCAUUUAGAAUCCCCAAGCACACAUUUCCAUUUUUCGUGACAAUAAGAUAAUCUUCAGGUGGUAAUUGCAGCUGAACAUUCUUAGAUUUUGUAAAGCUUAGUGCUAAGGGCGUGAAGUAGCUCUUGACAUCACUAACAGAUUUGAAGGGUUUUGCACCUUUCCAGCAGAUUGAGAGGGCCUUCUCCUCUGGUGCAUCUUUUAAUGGCUUUCCAGAUAGAUCUUUCCUAAUCAAAUUAAGUGUGCUUUGGUAAAUUUGGGCACUGAAGUAAGUAUAAGAGCUCCCACUGUCAAAAAUCAAUUCUAGUCCCUUUAUGCCAGUGGACUUUCCACCAAAAAGAAGUUCUGCUGGUCCUGAUGUGUAGUGUUUGUCCAAUGAACUGCGGGUCAUUGGUGUCCAACUGAUUCCCGAAGAAGGGACAAGAUGAUCUCCAAAAAAUAAAAAUCCUCCCCCCAGCCUACUCAAACAGUGUCCUAUCACAUUCUUUAUUACACCCAGGUCCUGCAGUUGUGAAACAAAGCUUGUUUUGCCAUUGC